ACAGUACUGUUUACUGAGACUUUCCACUUUUUUUUUACCGCGAACUUUAUUUGUUGUUAUUUUACCUCCAAGUGAUGUUGGAGGUUUUGUUAUAUUCCUAGGUCAAGGGCAGACAUCUCGGAUGCAUGCAUGUGCUGGCUUUGUUACAGUUUUGAGGUGUGCUUAUGGCCAGAUCCUCCUGGGUCAGUAGUGUUGAGGCUUCCUGCGUCCCUUGUACCGACUACCAAGAGCCUGAUGCCAAAAGACUUGGGCAAUAAUAUUGAAUGUUACUUUUUUCUGCGAGGUGCUGCGGCUAGUAGGGCACGGAUGCAUGCAUGUGCUGGCUUUGUUACAGUUUUGAGGUGUGCUUCUGGCCAGAUCCUCCCGGGUCAGUAGUGUUGAGGCUUCUGUGUUAGCGCGAUGCCAAAGACUGGAGCAUAAAAAAUGUACUUUCUUGUUAAAGUCAAAGAGUUUUGCGGCUAGUAGGGUGCUCCCCAAAAAAUGUCUCGGAUUAAGUUAUAUUACAACUCAUGACGGUGGAUGCCUUGGC
This 529-nucleotide unclassified non-coding RNA is filed under the name uncultured bacterium. RNAcentral describes it as "partial 16S-23S ribosomal RNA intergenic spacer". The record is from RNAcentral.